This 119-nucleotide ribosomal RNA is filed under the name Hucho hucho (huchen). Lineage: Eukaryota; Metazoa; Chordata; Actinopteri; Salmoniformes; Salmonidae. The record is from RNAcentral.
ACUUACGGACAUACCAUCCUGAAUACGCCCGAUCUUGUCUGAUCUCGGAAGCUAAGCAGUGUCGGGCCUGGUUAGUACUUGGAUGGGAGACGGCGUGGGAAUACCAGGUGCUGUAAGUG